RNAcentral lists this long non-coding RNA (8376 nucleotides) under Prunus persica (peach). RNAcentral's name for it is "long non-coding RNA (PPER_LNC001695)". Lineage: Eukaryota; Viridiplantae; Streptophyta; Magnoliopsida; Rosales; Rosaceae. The record is from RNAcentral.
ACUAAUUGAGUUCGGUGACCAAAAUCGGUACAUUACAUAUCUGCGGCAACACGUUUGUACAAAUGCGAGGGGAGCCUUGGAGUAGGCACGGCUUGUAAUGGGGUUCUCAUGUAAGUCACAAGCCCUGGAUUUUCCGACAUGUCUAUCUCCUUUGGAUUCAUCCCUUCAGCCGGAGCCCAACUGAAAUGGUGCAAUAGAUGCCCCAACAUGGACACCACCAAAUUCACACUAAGUUGUGCUCCCGGGCAUACUCGCCUACCGGCUCCAAACGGAAGUAGUCUGAAAUCAUGCCCCUUCAUGUCAACAUCCUCCUCUAGGAACCUUUCUGGUCGGAACUCAUGCGGGUCUUUCCAAACAGCGGGGUCACGCGCUACGGCCCAGACAUUUACAUGAACACUCGCACCCUUGGGGAUGUCGUAGCCGCCGAUCUUGACAUUGGCAUUAGCUCGGUGGGGGAGCAUUAGAGGAGUUGGAGGGUGCAACCGCAACGCUUCCUUUGCUACACAUUGUAGGUAAGGGAGAUUUGAGAAAUCGUCUUCGGUCAUGACCCGUUCGAACCCGAUGACACGGUCCAGCUCCUCUUGUGCCUUUUUUUGCACCCUCGGGUUCUUAAUCAACUCAGCCAUAGCCCAUUCAACUGAAAUAGCUGUGGUGUCUGUGCCCGCAGUAAUCAUAUCCUGCAUGCACAAAUGGUAUAACUAAGUUAUGAACCCGAGGCAACAAGGUUAGAAUUUGAGGGUUUGUGCAAAGCUUAGAUUGGGGUCACACACAUAAUAGGAAAAAUAACUCUUCUUUUAGAAAUAUCAAAUCGAAAAAACUGCAUGUAUACAUUACUUACCCAAAGAAGUCCGAUAAUAGUGUCUUCACUAAGGUCAUACUUGUCCUUCAAUGUAAGCAACGCAUCGACAAAAUGCUGCUUGGCACCGCCACUCUUGGUGCGAGCCUGUGUGUGCUCCUCCAUGAUUGCCCUAGUGAGUCGGUCUCUUCGUGCCCCAUGCUGAGCAAACGCCUUUUCCUCCAGCGGGAACAUCCAACGCAGCCAUGGAAUGUGCUCGGCCAUCGAAAGCGACGCACCGAUCUUCACUCCAUUAGAAACAACAGCUUUGAAUUCUUGGCCUUGCUCAUCCAUUUCAUCCUGUGAGUUAACAAAACGCUUUCCGAAUGCUAGCCUUGUUAUGUUGUUGAAUGCCACUCUUCCCAAAUACUUCUUCACCAGCAAACUUUCCCCAUUUUUUUCUGCAAUAUGGUGAUAAAUUAAAGUUAAUCACAAAUUCACAGCUAGCAUAGUCAAGCAAUUUGGGAACAUAAAAUGCAUACCAUGAAUGGUACAGUGUUUGAAAAUGGACUCAACCAUAGCAGUGACCUCAUCUUCCCUAAUGGGUCUGAGAGCUUCAAUCCUCUUUGCAGAAAAAAGCUCAAGAGUGCACACCUUCCUGACCUUAACAUAGUGGGGCCCAUAGUCAGCCCAAAUGAGGUCCUGCCCAUCCUUGCUAAACCUGGCGCUUGAUCUAUUCCUGUGCCUAUCAGCCAGUUUCUGGUCAUGCUCUUUGAGCACCUCCUUUGCCAAUUCUGAGCUUGACACUACAACGUUGAGUGUGGAUCCAGUCCACACUGAAAUGAUGGGCCCAUAGGCCUGCGCCCACUCCGCGUAGCACCGGAACCUCACGGGCUUUAUGUGGUAGAGGUUUCCGACGACUGGCCACGGAAGUGGGCCGGGCGGGAGCUUAAAUCUCAGCCUUUGAUAUAGCUUGUAAGCAAGGAAGAUGAAGAUGAGGAGGAGUAGUAGUCCAGAGAGAGCCAUGUGAAAUGAGAAACACUGAGAUAGAGAGUUCGGAGAAGUGAUUUUGUUUUGAGUUGUGGAUGUGUGGAGUAAUUUAAAGGCACAUGCAAUUGUACGACGAGGUUACCACGUGAUAUUUACUCAACGUAAUUAUGCAAAUUGGACGACCGCAGCUUGGACAAGAUAUACCCUAUAGUGGGGCCAGAAGAAGCAUCGCCCACUCAUAUUCUCAACCAUCAUUAAUAGGACAAGUGUCAACCAUCUAAUGGAUGCCGUUCGAGAUGGGGAGGUAGGUAGUUAGAGCACCCCAGAGCGUCCCCUCUCAACUACAAGUCUACAAAAAACAAAAAAAACAAAAAAAAAGACACACCCACACAACACAACCACCUGAACUCAAAUUGAUCUUUCCAGAUAUUUCUUCCUUUACACAAAGCACACCAUUUUCAUCUAUAGAAAAAAGAUUGUUUGGUAAGGAAGGUGAUGUUGGUUCAAAACGAUCCCAUCAUCGGGGGGAGGAGCGAAAUAGCAAAUAUGAUUUUUAAGGUGAUGGUCACCUUCCAAAGUUGAGCUAGGACUGUGUUGCAACAUUAAUCCAGUAUGCGGACCUGUCACACAAUGGUGUGUGGGCUGGGGGACCGCACAAGACCCCCUGAAAAAACGGCCUACUAUAAAACCUUGUAGUCCAAUAAUUAUAUAAGAAAAAAUGCCUUUAGAAGGAAAUAAAGAGAAUCCAUUUAUAAGGAAGGAAAUACAUGGCAAAAAAAUAAUAAUAAGAAACACAAAAUGGCAGUUGCAUCAUAGUAGCUCAAUAUAAUUAGUGGUGUGUUUACUAAUCAGAAUUUGGAAUUAGAAUUAUGAAUUGAAUUUCAAUUAUGGAGGAUUCAUGCGUUUACUUCAUAUUAAGGAAUAAAAAGUAAGAGGGCUCCACACAAAAUCAUAAGGAAUUCAAUUUUUGGGUGGGAGAUAGUAUUAUAAUUCAUUGAAAAUUAACAUAUUAGGAAUUCAUAUUUUUUAUUCAUUAUAUCCUCACACAAUUUUAAAAAUUCUAAAUUUCUCAUCUACUUUAGCCCAACAACGAUGACAUUUUAGUAAUUAACAACACUCAUACCCCAAUUUCAUAUAUUUUAGUAAACAACUUCAAUAAGAGUCUGAAAUAUAAUUAUCCUCAAUUCAACUCCUCCUCAAUUCAAUUCAUUAUAAUUCACUAAACAUGCCAUAAAUUUAAAGAAUCCAGGCAUGGAUACUUUUUUGACAAGUCCAAAAAGUAUUAGGACACAUAUUUCCUCCAAUCACAGGUGAGCCCAACUACAACAACACAAAAGACCAAAAUCCCAAACUAGACUUAAAGCCUGGUCCACACCAACCACAGUGUUUCAAGUCUAAUUGGCAGGUAACAAUUCGUACAUAAAAUAAUAAUUUCGUGAAUUUAAAGGACCAUUUGUUAAAAUAAACCAUUAUGUUAUUAUCCAAAAACCCUAUGAGGUUGCUCAUUUAGUUCCCAAGCCAACUUAGUACAGUCCCAAACACAUAUCUAAUCUUUUUUUGGUGAAUUUUUCUUACUAAGAAAUUUGAAAAAUCAAGUAUGGAAAUAUUCAACGAGCAAUAUAUGUUUUGCAGUGGAAAUAUUGAAAAAAAAGAAGAUUUAAAUUAUCAAGUUUGAUUAAUGAUGAAGAGGAAUAUUACAUAUAGAGGAGAAAUAAACAGUCCCCUCAUUUCAAUUACUACAACCAUAAGAAUAAAUUUAUUCUUCCAAUAUUUGGACACUAAUUGUGACCAAGAAAGAUACUGAAAUCCUUUCGGAAGAAACUAAAAGGUACAUUACAUUUCUGCGGCAACACGUUUGUACAAAUGCGAGGGGAGCCUUGGAGUAGGCACGGCUUGUAAUGGGGUUCUCAUGUAAGUCACAAGCCCUGGAUUUUCUGACAUGUCAAUCUCCUUUGGAUUCAUCCCUUCAGCUGGAGCCCAACUGAAAUGGUGCAAUAGAUGCCCCAACAUGGACACCACCAAAUUCACACUAAGUUGUGCUCCCGGGCAUACUCGCCUGCCUGCUCCAAACGGAAGUAGUCUGAAAUCAUGCCCCUUCAUGUCAACAUCCUCCUCUAGGAACCUUUCUGGUCGGAACUCAUGCGGGUCUUUCCAAACCGCCGGGUCACGCGCUACGGCCCACACGUUUACGUGAACACUCGCACCCUUGGGGAUGUCGUAGCCGCCGAUCUUGACAUUGGCAUUAGCUCGGUGGGGAAGCAUUAGAGGAGUUGGAGGGUGCAACCGCAACGCUUCCUUUGCUACACAUUGCAGGUAAGGGAGAUUUGAGAAAUCGUCUUCGGUCAUGACCCGUUCGAACCCGAUGACUCGGUCUAGCUCCUCUUGUGCCUUGUUUUGCACCCUCGGGUUCUUAAUCAACUCAGCCAUAGCCCAUUCAACUGAAAUAGCUGUGGUGUCUGUGCCCGCAGUAAUCAUGUCCUGCAUGCACAAAUGGUAUAACUAAGUUAGAAUGUAGGAUCCUUAUAUAUAUGUAUAGUGUUUUCAGAAAGGUAUACGCCCUCCAAGGUAGGAAGCUCAUAACUAAUUAAGAACAUUAAAAAGGAAAUAUGGGUAUUUGGCAACAAGUUUAGAAUUUGAGGGUUUGUGCAAAGCUUAGAUUGGGGUCGCACACGCGAUCUAACAUGAAAAUACUUCAAUAAAAAAAAGUUUUAUCAUGAAGUGGUGUCAUAAAAUAACGAGCAUAAUGAGCACAAAGAGCGUUGCAAACCAACUUCAGCGGGCACACAGUUAUGAAAGUAUGUUGUGCGUUCACGUAUAUGCAUAUGAAAAACAGCUCUUAAAAAUUAGGGGCCUUGUGCUGUGGAACCAUCCCUAUCUGGCAAUGCUUAAUUCUAUCAUGUAUAUGGUUGUAUCCCACAUACUAGGAAAAAAUAACCCUUCUUUUAGAAAUAUCAAAUUGAAAAGACUGCAUGUAUACAUUACUUACCCAAAGAAGUCCGAUAAUUGUGUCUUCACUAAGGUCAUACUUGUCCUUCAAUGUAAGCAAUGCAUCGACAAAAUGCUGCUUGGCACCGCCACUCUUGGUGCGAGCCUGUGUGUGCUCCUCCAUGAUUGCCCUAGUGAGUCGGUCUCUUCGUGCCCCAUGCUGAGCAAACGCCUCUUCCUCCAGCGGGAACAUCCAACGCAGCCAGGGAAUGUGCUCGGCCAUCGAAAGCGAUGCACCGAUCUUCACUCCAUUAGAAACAACAGCUUUGAAUUCUUGGCCUUGCUCAUCCAUUUCAUCCUCUGCGUUAACAAAACGCUUUCCGAAUGCUAGCCUUGUUAUGUUGUUGAAUGCCACUCUUCCCAAAUACUUCUUCACUAGCAAACUUUCCCCAUUUUUUUCUGCAGUAUGGUGAUUAAUUAAUGUUAAUCACAAAUUCACAAUUAAUACACAUUAAGUAUGCAAACUAAUAAAGUAGCAUUGAAUCCAAUCAUACGGUAACAAUAAAUACCAAUCAAUCAACCUCAAGUACUUCCUCUCAGAAAACUCAACUACCAUUAUAGAUAUGCGAGUGUAAUUUGAAUUAAUGAACGAUGAAAUAAACACGUGGUAUAACAUGAGUGAAUUAUAUCGAUGUAGACAAUUAAAAAAGUACAAACUGCAAAUGACAUUUGAAAAACUAGCAUAGUCAAGCAAUUUGGGAACAUAAAAUGCAUACCAUUAAUGGUACAGUGCUUGAAAAUGGACUCAACCAUAGCGGUGACCUCAUCUUCUCUAAUGGGUCUGAGAGCUUCAAUCCUCUUUGCAGAGAAAAGCUCAAGAGUGCACACCUUCCGGACCUUAACAUAGUGGGGCCCAUAGUCAGCCCAAAUGAGGUCCUGCCCAUCCUUGCUAAACUUGGCGGUUGAUCUAUUCCUUUGCCUAUCAGCCAGUUUCUGGUCAUGCUCUUUGAGCACCUCCUUUGCCAAUUCUGAGCUCGACACUACAACGUUGAGUGUGGAUCCAGUCCACACUGAAAUGAUGGGCCCAUAGGCCUGCGCCCACUCCGCGUAGCACCGGAACCUCACGGGCUUUAUGUGGUAGAGGUUUCCGACGACUGGCCACGGACGCGGGCCGGGCGGGAGCUUAAAUCUCAGCCUUUGAUAGAGCUUGUAAGCAAGGAAGAUGAAGAUGAGGAGUAGUAGUAGUCCAGAGAGAGCCAUGUGAAAUGAGAAACACUGAGAUAGAGAGUUUGGAGAAGUGAUUUUGUUUUAAGUUGUGGAUGUGAUGUGUGGAGUAAGGGGAGAGAGAGGAUAGGUGAGCAAUUUAAAGGACAAGACUUACCCGUUCUUACCACUCAUAUUGUGAACCGUCAUUAAAAGAACACGUGUCAAUCAUCUAUUGGAUGUGGUUCGAGAUGGGGCGGUAGGUAGGUAGAGCACCCCAGAGCGUCCCAUCUCAACUACAAGUCUACAAGUCAAUGGGCUUCUUCUUUUUACUUGUGCACACAACACAACCACCAGAACUCAAAUUGAUAUUUCCAGAUAUUUCUUCCUUUACACAAAUCACAACAUUUUCAUCUAUAGAAAAAAGACUGUCUGGUAAGGAAGGUGAUCAAAAAUUAAAGUAGAAACGAUCCCAUCACAGUGAGGAGGGGCGAAAUAGCUACCUACCCUUCCAAAGUUGAGUUAGGUUAGGACUGUGUUGCCACAUUAAUCCAGUAUACAGACCCAUCACACAGGGUGUGCGGGUUGGGCGACCGUACAAGACCCCCGAAAUAAAAGCCUCCUAUAAAACCUUCUAGUCCAAUAAUUAUUAUAUAAGCAAAAACUGCCUUUCCGUUGUCUGAUUAAUGCUUUUUGAGCUUUAUCAUGAAUUUUUUGGAUUUUUUUUUUCUUCCUAUAGUGGGCCUAUUUUAUUUAUUUAUUUAUUUGUCAUUUUGGUCAUAACGAGAAUCCAUUUAUAAGGAAAGAAAUACACGGCAAAAAAAAGAAAAAAGAAAUACUAAUUAGAAUUUGGAAUGGCAGUUGCAUCAUAGUAGCUCAAUAUAAUUAGUGGUGUGUUUACUAAUUAGAAUUUGGAAUCAGAAUCAAGAAUUGAAUUCUAAUUAUGGAGGAUUCAUGCAUUUAAGGAAUGAAAAGUAAGGCGGGUCCACACAAAAUCAUGAGGAAUUCAAUUCUUGGGUGGGAGAUAGUAUUCUAUUUCAUCGAGAACUAACCCAUUAGGAAUUCAUUUUUUUUAUCCAUUAUAUAUUUUAAAUUUUCCAAAUUUGUCAUCUAUUUAACUCAACAACGAGGACAUUUUAGUAACUAACACCACUCAUACCCCAAUUCUAUAUGAUUUAACAAACAACUUCAAUAAGAAUUCAAAAUCUAAUUAUCCUCAAUUCAACUCCUCCUCGAUUUAAGUCAUCAUAAUUCAAUAAACAAGCCAUAAAUUUAAAGGAUCUAGGCAUGGAUACUUUUUUGACAAGUCCAGGUGAGCCCAACCACAACAACAACAACACAAAAGACCACAAGCCCAAACUAGACUUAAAGCCUGGUCCACACCAACCACAGUGUUUCUGUCAAACCCUUGUUUUACUUAAACUAACCAACUUAGCAUCUAAAUGUGAAAUUUUUCAUUGUUGUACAAAAACAGCUAGUUUUGAAUAUAAAAAGGAUCUCAACUUUCAUUUAUGUCUAGGACUUAUAAAAUUAAUGGACCGGUAGUAGAAUGAUUAGAAUCCACAAAGUCGAAAAGGAAAUAAUUGCCCAAACCAGGUUCUACAUUAACCUCAUCCUCAUACUGAGAUAGAGUUGGUGAAUGGAUUUAUGGAUGAGUGGAUUAAAGAGAGACGACGAGAUGCUUGAAUGCAAAUUAGGAAUACUAUUUUUCUUGAAAUAUUCUUGAAGGAAUAAUAACAAACAUACUAUUUGAUUCGUUAUGGGACUUAAUGACCCAAUAGGGAUAGAGGGAUAAUAAAACUCUUUUUUUUCAAAAACCAAAACUUGAAGAAGAAAAUAAAAGUCACAUAUCUGCAGCCACACGUUUGUACAAGUGCGAUGGAAGCCUUGGAGUAGGCACGGCUUGUAAUGGGGUUCUCAUGUAAGUAACAAGUCCUGGAUUUUCCGACAUGUCAAUCUCCUCUGGUUUUGCUCCUUCUGCCGGGGUCCAACUGAAAUGGUGCAGUAGAUGCCCCAACAUGGAGGUCACCAAGUUGAUGCCAAGUUGGGCUCCCGGGCAUACCCGCCUACCCGCCCCAAACGGAAGUAGUCUAAAAUCAUGGCCCUUCAUGUCAACGUCCUCCUCAAGGAACCUCUCGGGCCGGAAUUCAUACGGGUUUUUCCAUACCUCCGGAUCACGCGCUACGGCCCAAACAUUCACGUGAACGUUGGAUCCCUUGGGGAUGUCGUAGCCACCGAUCUGGACAUUGGCAUUGGCUCGGUGGGGGAGCAUCAACGGGGUUGGAGGGUGCAACCGCAUGCCUUCCUUUGCUACACAUUGUAGGUAAGGGAGGUUUGAGAAAUCGGUUUCGGUCAUGACCCGUUCGAACCCGAUGACCCGGUCUAGCUCCUCUUGGGCCUUUUGUUGCACUCUUGGGUUCUUGAUCAGCUCGGCCAUGGUCCAUUCAACGGUUAUGGCUGUGGUGUCCAUGCCGGCAGUAAUC